CUGUCGCCCCGAGGCAAGCAGGCAGGCCCAGCUGGGAAGAAGUCUGUGUCGCUGUGUGGUCCUUUGCUGUAUCUACUGCGAGAAUGAAGACCAUUCUCAGCAAUCAGACUGUCAACAUUCCAGAAAAUGUCGACAUUACUCUGAAGGGACACACAGUUAUCGUGAAUGGCCCCAGAGGAACCCUGCGGAGGGACUUCAAUCACAUCAGUGUAGAACUCAGUCUUCUUGAAAAGAAAAAAAAAGAGCUCUGGGUUGACAAAUGGUGGGGUAACAGAAAGCAACUGGCUACCGUUCGGACUAUUUGUAGUCAUGUACAGAACAUGAUCAAGGGUGUUACACUGGGCUUCCGUUACAAGAUGAGGUCUGUGUAUGCUCACUUCCCCAUCAUCGUCAUCUCGGAGAAUGGGUAUGUUGUUGAAAUCUGAAAUUUCUUGGGUGAAAAAUACAUCCGCAGGGUUCGGAUGAGACCAGGUGUUGCUUGUUCAGUAUCUCAAGCCAGAAAGAUGAAUUAAUCCUUGAAGGAAAUGACAUUGAGCUUGUUUCAAAUUCAGCGGCUUUGAUUCAGCAAGCCACAACAGUUAAAAACAAGGAUAUCAGGAAAUUUUUGAAUGGUAUCUAUGUCUCUGAAAAAGGAACUGUUCAGCAGGCUGAUGAAUAAGAUCUAAGAGUUAUCCAGCUACAGAAAGAAGAUGCCAGAUGACUCCUAAGACCUACUUGUGAUAUUU
RNAcentral lists this small RNA (725 nucleotides) under Pongo abelii (Sumatran orangutan). Its description in RNAcentral is "processed transcript". The record is from RNAcentral. Lineage: Eukaryota; Metazoa; Chordata; Mammalia; Primates; Hominidae.